GAGAGAGACAUGCGCGCAUAUCAAUAAGCGGAGGAAAAGAAACUAACAAGGAUUCCCUUAGUAACGGCGAGUGAAGCGGGAAGAGCUCAAAUUUGAAAUCUUCAAGGUUUUACCUUGACGAAUUGUAGUUUAAAGAAGUGUUUUCUGCCUGAAGUUUUGGUAAAAGUUCUUUGGAAUAGGACAUCAUAGAGGGUGAGAAUCCCGUAUUUGACCAUUAUUUUCAGCUUUGUGAUACACUUUCAAAGAGUCGGAUUGUUUGGGAAUGCAGUCCAAAAUGGGUGGUAAAUUUCAUCUAAAGCUAAAUAUUGGCGAGAGACCGAUAGCGAACAAGUACCGUGAGGGAAAGAUGAAAAGAACUUUGAAAAGAGAGUUAAACAGUACGUGAAAUUGUCAAAAGGGAAGCGUUUGACACCAGUGUUGUUUUCUCGAAAAUCAAUUAAAAAUGGCUCGAUUUUGUAUUGCUGAGACCUUAAAAGCUCACUGUACAUUUUUCGUGUCUUUUUUAAUGCACUUUUCGUUUAACAAGUCAACAUCAGUUUCUUUUGUUGUAAAAGGGUCAUUGGAAGGUGGCUUUCUUUUCGGAGAAAGUGUUUAUAGCCUUUGGCCUCUGCAAUCGGAGAGACUGAGGUCUGCAGCGUAGACUCUUCGGGGUUAGAUACAUUUGUGCUAAGUUAUAGCUUUUUAUAGACAACUUGUUGACUAUAAUUAGUCUUGUAGCUUACUCGCUUAUGCUAUUUUACCUACGCUUAGGAUGUUGAAGAUGUAGCACAUCAU
This 774-nucleotide ribosomal RNA is filed under the name uncultured Neocallimastigales. RNAcentral's name for it is "partial large subunit ribosomal RNA". It matches the Rfam family "Eukaryotic large subunit ribosomal RNA", at positions 23 to 634 of the family's 3401-position model. Lineage: Eukaryota; Fungi; Neocallimastigomycota; Neocallimastigomycetes; Neocallimastigales. The record is from RNAcentral.